CCUACGGGAGGCUGCAGUGGGGAAUUUUGCGCAAUGCUCGUAAGAGUGACGCAGCGACGCCGCGUGAAUGACGAAGGCCUUCGGGUCGUAAAGUUCUUUCGACAGGGAAGAAAAUGCCUAUAAGUAACUGUGUAUGUAUUGACGGUACCUGUAUAAGCAGCCCCGGCUAACUCCGUGCCAGCAGCCGCGGUAAUACGGAGGGGGCGAGCGUUGUUCGGAGGGACUGGGCGUAAAGAGCACGUAGGCGGUGUUGUAAGUCAUUAGUCAAAGACUAGAGCUCAACUUUAGUAAGGCUAGUGAUACUAUAAUACUAGAGUAUCAGAGAGGAUUGCAGAAUUCCUGGUGUAGCGGCGAAAUGCGUAGAUAUCAGGAGGAAUACCGUUAGCGAAGGUGGCAAUCUGGCUGGAAACUGACGCUGAGGUGCGAAAGCGUGGGUAGCAAACAGGAUUAGAUACCCCUGUAGUC
Molecule: ribosomal RNA, 465 nt
Filed under: uncultured bacterium
Lineage: Bacteria
Description: partial 16S ribosomal RNA
Rfam family: Bacterial small subunit ribosomal RNA
Source: RNAcentral